AGUAAUGUCUGGGAAACUGCCUGAUGGAGGGGGAUAACUACUGGAAACGGUAGCUAAUACCGCAUAANGUCGCAAGACCAAAGAGGGGGACCUUCGGGCCUCUUGCCAUCGGAUGUGCCCAGAUGGGAUUAGCUAGUAGGUGGGGUAACGGCUCACCUAGGCGACGAUCCCUAGCUGGUCUGAGAGGAUGACCAGCCACACUGGAACUGAGACACGGUCCAGACUCCUACGGGAGGCAGCAGUGGGGAAUAUUGCACAAUGGGCGCAAGCCUGAUGCAGCCAUGCCGCGUGUAUGAAGAAGGCCUUCGGGUUGUAAAGUACUUUCAGCGGGGAGGAAGGCGAUAAGGUUAAUAACCUUGUCNAUUGACGUUACCCGCAGAAGAAGCACCGGCUAACUCCUUGCCAGCAGCCNCNNUAAUACAGAUGGUGCNNGCGUUAAUCGGAAUUACUG
This 451-nucleotide ribosomal RNA is filed under the name Enterobacter sp. RNAcentral describes it as "bacterial SSU rRNA". It matches the Rfam family "Bacterial small subunit ribosomal RNA", at positions 109 to 556 of the family's 1533-position model. Lineage: Bacteria; Pseudomonadati; Pseudomonadota; Gammaproteobacteria; Enterobacterales; Enterobacteriaceae. The record is from RNAcentral.